Molecule: microRNA, 21 nt
Filed under: Oryza sativa (Asian cultivated rice)
Lineage: Eukaryota; Viridiplantae; Streptophyta; Magnoliopsida; Poales; Poaceae
Description: osa-miR5071
Source: miRBase by way of RNAcentral
UCAAGCAUCAUAUCGUGGACA